This 71-nucleotide transfer RNA is filed under the name Sphaerodactylus townsendi. Its description in RNAcentral is "tRNA-Thr". It matches the Rfam family "tRNA". From Rfam's summary of the family: Transfer RNA (tRNA) molecules are approximately 80 nucleotides in length. Lineage: Eukaryota; Metazoa; Chordata; Lepidosauria; Squamata; Sphaerodactylidae. The record is from RNAcentral.
AGGGGCUGUAGCACAGUCGCAGAGCAUCUGUUUAGUAUGCAGAAGGCUCUGGGUUCAAUCCCUGGCCUCUA